UACGGAGGAUCCAGACGUUAUCCGGAAUCAUUGGGUUUAAAGGGUCCGUAGGCGGUUUGGUAAGUCAGUGGUGAAAGCCCAUCGCUCAACGGUGGAACGGCCAUUGAUACUGCCAGACUUGAAUUAUUAGGAAGUAACUAGAAUAUGUAGUGUAGCGGUGAAAUGCUUAGAGAUUACAUGGAAUACCAAUUGCGAAGGCAGGUUACUACUAAUGGAUUGACGCUGAUGGACGAAAGCGUGGGUAGCGAACAGG
This 253-nucleotide ribosomal RNA is filed under the name uncultured bacterium. RNAcentral describes it as "partial 16S ribosomal RNA". It matches the Rfam family "Bacterial small subunit ribosomal RNA", at positions 524 to 776 of the family's 1533-position model. The record is from RNAcentral.